CAGGCCAGGAUCCUGGGUGAAAUGUGGCACAUUUGAGGAGACUUCAACUUCCCUUGCCCUCCAGAGGCGGGGUUUCACCAUGUUGCCCAGACUGGUCUUGAACUCCUGAGCUUAAGCAAUCCACCUGCCUCGGCCUCCCAAAGUGUUGGGAUCACAGGCGUGAGCCACCGCAUCCGGCCUCAUGUUCUUUUUCAUUAAAGAGAGAAAUCAACUAUUCAGGACCGGCCCCCACCUUUCCUCAGGAGUCAUUUCUGUUCCGCACAGGCCUGCUGAACUGGGUGCUUUAUAUAGGACACUGUCAUCUCUCAAGUACCCAUCUUGGAGGGUACGGACCCCACAUGAGGAAAGGACCAACCACACCGAGCUCAGUUAUGGCACACACAGUGGGACCUAGACAAAGGGAGAGGGUGACCGACAUCCCAACUAGAUUUCAGUGGAGUGAAGUUCAGGAGGCAUGGAGCUGACAACCAUGAGGCCUCGGCAGCCACCGCCACCACCGCCGCCGCCACCACCGUAGCAGCAGCAGCAGCAGCAGCAGCAGCAGCAGCAGCAGCAAGAGUAACUCUGACUUAGGAAUAGAGACAGCCAGAGAGAAAUGUGAUCAAUGAAGGAGACAUCUGGAGUGUGCGUGCUUCUUCAGAGGGACGGGUGAUGGGCAGAUUGGAAAAAGCACCGCAGAUGGGAACCUUAAUCUUUCUUUUCUAAAAUUGAUGCUAUGAAAAUUUGCGUUUUCUGUAACUUGUAAAAACUAAAAGUUGCUUGUCUACUGAAAAGCCUCUCUGCCUCUAUGUUUUAUACCAUCGGAUGCCAACUCCCGGCCUUCUAAGCCACCUCCCCUUUAGGCUAAAACUGAGACAUGAACUUGAAAAAUUGACACUGGCUUCCUCUCUCUUUAGGGUCCCCAGGCAGGUGGCUGGGACACUAUUUGCAAUCAGCAAGGAACCCUGCUGCCCUUAGACUCCCCACAGAGCAAGCAGAACUUGCAGAAUGGGGUAAAAACACUCUAUUAAAGAUUUUUUAAACCUAUUUAUAUUGUAAUAAAGUAAAUGUAAAUAAAAUUUA
RNAcentral lists this long non-coding RNA (1062 nucleotides) under Homo sapiens (human). Its description in RNAcentral is "PREDICTED lncRNA (TCONS_00011091)". Lineage: Eukaryota; Metazoa; Chordata; Mammalia; Primates; Hominidae. The record is from RNAcentral.